This 375-nucleotide ribosomal RNA is filed under the name uncultured eukaryote. RNAcentral's name for it is "SSU rRNA". It matches the Rfam family "Eukaryotic small subunit ribosomal RNA", at positions 587 to 972 of the family's 1831-position model. The record is from RNAcentral.
AGCUCUGUAAGCGUAUACCAAAGUUGUUGCAGUUAAAACGCUCGUAGUCGAACCUUGGCGUGAGUUACGGAUGCUCCUAAUGGAUGUUGAAGUAACUCCGCCUUUGUGGAGGGGGGUGUGGUGGUACUUUAUUGUAUUGCUGCACUUCCGCCACUGUUUACUGUGAAAAAAUUAGAGUGUUCAAAGCGAGCGUUUGCCAUGAAUACAUUAGCAUGGAAUAAUAGAAUAGGACCUGGUCCUGUUUUAUUGGUUUGUCUGUAUCAGGUAAUGAUUAACAGGGACGGUCGGGGGCAUUUGUAUUCCAGCGUUAGAGGUGAAAUUCUUGGAUCGCUGGAAGACAAACAGCUGCGAAAGCGUCUGCCAAGGACGUUUUCA